This is a long non-coding RNA of Gavia stellata (red-throated loon), 225 nucleotides long. RefSeq lists it as uncharacterized. The transcript is spliced from 3 exons. Lineage: Eukaryota; Metazoa; Chordata; Aves; Gaviiformes; Gaviidae. The record is from RefSeq and is a predicted model, not a curated record.
GUCAUAAAAUUAUAUUAGCUUUCCGAGGGCUUCCUUCUCCACAGUUUACUCAUGUAAGGUAGCGCUUUUUAAGAGGGAGACCUUCUGCAAGGCUUUGCAGGCUGCUGAUGCCUCGACAAUACCCCUCUGGAGGAAGAUCGUCCUGAUGGAUGAGAAGAGAGGAAGUAAGCAAAACUUGAAGGUAGUUUGGAAAAUGAAGAAGGAUGGAGAAUGAAUAAGGCAUGA